CCCGCGAAAGCUACUCCUCCUUCCAAAUUCCGGAUCUCGCUAAUUCUCCCCUUCAAAUCAAUCCUUUUGCAGUUCGAUUUGGCAGCAGAAUUCCAUCUCCAAUCCCUUCCAUUCUCCGUAUGAAUUUAGAUCCUUGUAAUGGAACAACAAACUAUGUGAUGCUUUUCGGGAAGUUCUAGCUUUGAUUGCAGAGAACUAUGUCAAGGAGAGCAGUGAAUCCCUCUCGGCGACUCGCCGACAGUGGAACUCUUCCUUUUUCUGGGGCAUUCCCCCAAAAGUCACGAACUUCGCCAUUGUUGUCCAUUGGACUGCUCCUUUUGGGUGGCUUUCUUCUGAUUGCCUAUUCCUAUCGUGGCUCAGGUGGAUCUGGCAGUGUUAAAGCCGCUUCACGUAUAGGUGAAGUUCUAUCAUGCACAUCAGAAGUUCAACAAGCAAUACCCAUUCUGAAGAAAGCAUAUGGUGAUAGCAUGCGGAAAGUUCUUCACAUUGGACCUGAAACAUGCUCAGUCAUUUCUAAUUUGUUAAAAGAAGAUGAUAUUGAAGCAUGGGGAGUUGAACCGUAUGAUUUAGAAGAUGCAGAUACUAGCUGCAAGAUACUUGUCCGCAAAGGCAUCGUCCGUGUGGCUGAUAUCAAGUUUCCCUUACCUUAUAGGGCAAAGUCAUUUUCUCUUGUCAUAGUUUCUGAUGCAUUGGAUUAUUUGUCGCCAAAGUACCUAAAUAAGACCCUUCCAGACCUUGCAAGGGUGUCCACAGAUGGUCUGGUUAUCUUUGCAGGUAAUCCAGGUCAACGGAGAGCUAAAGUUUCUGAAUUAGCAAAGUUUGGAAAGCCGGCAAAAUUACGGAGCUCAUCCUGGUGGAUAAAAUAUUUUGUUCAGACUGGUUUAGAGGAGAAUGAAUCUGCGACAAAGAAGUUUGAACAGGCUGCCAGCAAGGACUCUUACCAACCAACCUGCGGAGUCUUCCACCUCAGCUUAUCUCAAUGAUCCAGUUGCUUCAUUUCAGGAUACAAAUGCCAGCUAUUGCUGCCCCCCUUAUCUAAAGUUUUCCCCUAACCUUUUUCAUUCAGCUUGAAAGUGGCCUACAUGAGGCUUCAUGGAGACUCAGGGAGAUACAGAGCUUCAGAUAUUCAAUUCUUGUCUCCAUCUUCAUUCUCAGCACCUGCAACCACAUGUUCCAUUCAAUCUCCUCUUCCUGAAGAUCAUAAAGGAUGAUCAACAAGUUGGAGAAGGUGGUAGGUAGGUAAGACUGAAUUUGAUAAUAAGUAUCAAGAACUCUGUCCUUGCUAUGAUUUUACUUAUAGUUGAGGUAUGUGUUACCAAAAGGACACCUAUGCCUUUUGGUUUGUUAUUUGCCAAAAAUGUGGGUUCAUGUUAUCACUUGUGAACAAUUACAUAGAUUCUUAAAGUGUCUGCUUAUUCAAUGUUCUGCCAGUUAGUUUGCAAAAAAAAAUAAAAUAAAAUAGUGUAACAGUAAUGUUAUCACACUUUACAAGCACUGUGUAUCCAAAUGA
Molecule: RNA transcript, 1510 nt
Organism: Dioscorea cayenensis subsp. rotundata (Guinea yam)
Lineage: Eukaryota; Viridiplantae; Streptophyta; Magnoliopsida; Dioscoreales; Dioscoreaceae
Gene name: probable pectin methylesterase CGR2
Exons: 8
Source: RefSeq, a predicted model, not a curated record